UCGACCUCCAUCUUUUUCAUUCUUCAUUCUUUUUCAGAUCAUGGAAGAAAAACCACCUCUCUUCAAGUUCGUCGCCUUUGUACUACCACCACCAUCAGUAGCACCAUCAGAAACAACCAAAUCCAAAUCACUCUACCGCUGUUAUCUCCAAAUCACUCCACCGAUCUGAUUUUUUCAGAAGAAAUAGAAGAAGAAAAAGCCCUAAUUUCUAUCAAUUUUACAUCAAAACCCCUAAUAUGUUUUCUUCAUUUCAUGUUUUAAAACUAGGGUUUUGAUAUUUUCGUAGAAUAUAUGUUUAAAUUAGGGUUUUCUUCCUGUUUUGGUUUCGAUUUGUAGUUGUUAUUGAAUGAUGUUUUUGGUUUUUCGUGAGAAACGAAAGGUAAAUUCUCCUUCAAUCCGUCUUCCUGUUUCAUUUAUUUCUGAUUUUUUGGUGAUUUUUUUGAGGCUGAAAUCAAUCGUGUCGAUUCUGAUUUACAAUUUGUUGCUGAGGAGUAUUCUUUGCUGGAGAGCUUGCUGACAACGGUUACUCUGGAGUUGAAGUUAGGGUUACUCCUAUGAGAAAUGAAUCAUCAUCAGAGCUACUAGAACUCAAAAUGUUCCUGGUGAGAAAGGAAGCAAAAUUAGAGAAUUAACAUAUGUUGUACGAAGGAGGUUCAAGUUCCCUGAGAAUAGCGUUGAGCUUUACGCUGAGAAAGUUAACAUAGGUUCAAGUGCUAUUAAUGCUCAAACUGAAUCUCUCAGAUACAAGCUUCUUGGUGGGCUUGUUGUUUGUAGGCUCAAUGCAAUGUUUUUCAAGGUGGAGAAUGGGAAGUUUCUUUGACUGCUGUUGGUGGUUUAAGGGAACUUCCUGGAUUGAGCAUCUAUGAAAAUGUUGCACUGAUCAGAGUCCAUUGUGGACUGCGAUCAUCAUGAACUCUUACGACCUCAUGGGCAAUACUCUGUUGUCUUGGCUGAAGACGCCUCAAGAUAUAUGGAUUACAGGGGCGAGAGGAAUGAUGUUGAUUCAAUAGUUUCUGGGUCUAGACAGAUUUAUUUGACCUUUCCAGCUGAAAGUACAUUUACCAAGGAGGAUGUUUCCAACUAUUUCAAGAGCUUUGGUCAGUUCCGGCAUGUGAGUGCAGUUACAGAUACAGAUAUAACUAUUGUCUAUGUGAGUUUGUCAAAAACAUUGAUGAUGUAGACAAGACGAUGGAUGAGAUUAAUGAGCAGGCUGAGAACAUGAAGCAGAUUCAGGAAGCGUUCCUCAGCAGCUGGACCAGAUAAAACCUUGAAUGGCCAGUGCUUGAUAUCACACUGGACAGUGGUGUCACUGAAUCACUUACCAAUCAAAUUCUUGGCAUCUGUAAAGCCAAACAAUCACAUUAGCAAUAACUCUUGACAACAUAUUUGGUAAACUACCAUCAAAACCGAUGUAACUAUAUUCAUAUAAUAUCAGCUCAAACCAACACUCCAUGUCAUGGAUUCAUAUCAUCGAUGAAUAAAUACAAAUAAAACGAAAAAGGUCACCUCAUCAAAGUUGGCAGCUGCUCCAAUAUUUCCACGAUUCUCAGCGUCAAGCUACAAAGGUGCUGGAGUCAUUGCUGGUCUUAAUGUUAUGCGUGACAAGACUUUACAAAGACAAAGAACAUGUUGAGGUUGAGUUCACUGUAACUCUCUUCACUUAGUUUCCAAGGAUAUGGGCUCUCUCGAAUGAACUGAACUUAGGAACUUAGUAGGUUUCUAUGACUUCCCUCAGAAUUUGAGAUGCCUUUAAGAAGGGAAGAUAAGCAUCUUGGUGUUCCAACAACGUUCCUCAAGCCAAAGAGCAGCUGGCACAUGUAUACGGAGAUUUGUGAUGGAGGGGGAAGUGAAGUCGCACCAUUUGCAGAUAGAAAAAACAAGAAAUUAAAGUGGAGGUCUGAAUACAAACAAAAGAAAUAUAUUGUAUCGGAUGUUGGUGGUUGCUUGCCUCGCAGAAGGUGCUCACAACCAGGACCUUGUUCAAGUGCAUAACUCACAAGUGUUGCAGAUUUGAGAGACAAACAGGACGCAAGAGAAGUCAAAGACUGUUAUGUGAGUUCUACGUCUGUUAGUUUACUUGUAUAGUUAUAUGCUAUCUAUUUAAGUUUCUAAACGGAUAUUGUAUUCUCUCAAACGUAGGAAUUAUCCCAAGUAUUAAAGUGCUUGAAUUAAUAUAAAAGAGUGUGUAGGAAUUCUCUUAAAGUUCUAAGUCAAUGACUUGUUGAACAUGUCAUAGAAUUUGGUUGGGUGAAUGAUAAAAUAGAACAAGUUUUGUUGAUGUUA
Papaver somniferum (opium poppy) is the source of this 2283-nucleotide long non-coding RNA. RefSeq lists it as uncharacterized. NCBI's taxonomy places the organism in Eukaryota, Viridiplantae, Streptophyta, Magnoliopsida, Ranunculales, Papaveraceae. The transcript is spliced from 12 exons. The record is from RefSeq and is a predicted model, not a curated record.